This 301-nucleotide ribosomal RNA is filed under the name uncultured bacterium. Its description in RNAcentral is "partial 16S ribosomal RNA". It matches the Rfam family "Bacterial small subunit ribosomal RNA", at positions 509 to 807 of the family's 1533-position model. The record is from RNAcentral.
CAGCCGCCACGGUAAUACGGAGGGUGCAAGCGUUAAUCGGAAUUACUGGGCGUAAAGCGCACGCAGGCGGUUUGUUAAGUCAGAUGUGAAAUCCCCGAGCUUAACUUGGGAACUGCAUUUGAAACUGGCAAGCUAGAGUCUUGUAGAGGGGGGUAGAAUUCCAGGUGUAGCGGUGAAAUGCGUAGAGAUCUGGAGGAAUACCGGUGGCGAAGGCGGCCCCCUGGACAAAGACUGACGCUCAGGUGCGAAAGCGUGGGGAGCAAACAGGAUUAGAUACCCGGGUAGUCCCUGUCUCUUAUAC